CUCCGCGCUCAAUUACUCCACCAACUCGGUCAUCCCAUGAUGGGCCUCUUCCAAUCUAUAUAGUACAUAAGUUAUUGCAUUACUAUAUGGACCCAAACGAAGUACAUACAAGCAUGAGAAAUAUUUGGUUUCACCUAUUGAAUUUCUUUGUAUUUUGUUUGAUGACACAUUAAAGUUAUUGCAGUAAUAUAGCUUGUUAAAAUUAAAGUUUGAUUUGAACUUUUUCUUAUAAGUAAUUUACAAGGAAACAAAAAUGUGCACUAAUGAAAAAAAAAAAAAAAAAAACUAAGCUAAAGUUCUGCUGGUAUACAAUCAUUUUCAAAGCAUCUAGUGAGGACAGAAGUACUUGUCUCAACCCUUCAAUUUGAUAGAUGAGGUUAUAAACAUUUUUCAACGGUUGGAAAUGGUAAGAUGGACUAUUUGAUCAAUGCCAGGAAAAAUUAGUUACGAACAGUGAUGUUAGCAAAAAAUGACAAGUCUUAAGGGAGACUCGAUAUGCAAUUCUCUUUUUAUGCUCGUAUUCAAUACGGUUUGUCACGUGAUGACAUGUUUGGAACGUUGUUGUAUAGUUUUGCUAAAAAUUAGAUUUUUUGUAGAUUUCGAUAAAAAUAAUGAAAUAUGUGGUUAAAAAGUUGAUAAGAAGUAAUAGGUCACAUGAAAUGAAUGUUUUACUAUUAAACAUGUUGGCAAAGCUUAAAUAAAAAAGUAAAACAUUUUUUUUUCCUAAACAUAUGUUGAAAAUUUAUUUUUUCUUAUUUCAAAAUGAAAGUUUAUUUUACUAUUAAAUUAAGUAACUUGCUUUAAUUCAACUAGAUUUAAAAAAUUAAUUAUUUUAAACUUUACUUAUAAGUAAUUAAAUAUACUAAUGAAUAUACUUUUUAAGCUUGACCAAAUUGGUCCAUAUUAUGCUAUUUUGCAACUCAAUUCUCAUUCCAAGUGUUGUGAUCUUCAUGAAUCAGGUGGCAUAUUGGCAUUGAGCGUCUUGAUUCAUUUUCCAAUGCAUGCAUCACAACUCCAUUCAACAAUCAAUUAAGGGGUUCAGUACUCUAUCUAUGUGGCCAAUUGAUGAUUUCCAAGUAAUGAUGAGUAACAUGAUUCAUUCAAUCUUGUCGUUCUUCCCAAAAGUUCAAGAGCAAUGUUGCUUAUCAUUAACUCUGAUCAUCAUUGAUGAAUGUAAAUACCUGCAUGUAAAGGGUCAACUCAACCACAUGCGAGGUACAAUUGGCAAUAUCAACAACCAUAUUCAAUUAAUGCUCAACCGAAAACUCCCUCAAGAUUUAGGCAGUGGUCUCCAGAGGAUAAAGGAGGUGCAUGGAUAACCAUGAAUUAUAUUAAACAACUUGUGCAUUAAUUAUUUGCAUGUGAAAACUAAGGAGUGCAAAGUAAUUGUUCAAACGUCGUAGUGUUGGUCCUUACCCUAUAACCUAAGUCGCAUGUUGGUCUCAACCCUUGCAAAGGAACACUUUGGUUCUCAGAUUUGCUCGUGAAAGAAAGGAAAGAGAGAGAAAAGAUCAGUCCAAUCGAAAUAGCAAUUUAGCGCCACGGAAUGAAUCAAGAAACUAAUGACGUUUUCAAUACCGACAGGAACUCCCAAAGAAAUCAAUUGUUGCAACUUCAUUACCCAUUUGGUUCUUUAUAAUUAGAGGAAUUGGGACACAUUGAUAUAGCAUAUCGAUAUAAGGAAAAUAAGAACCCGAUGGCUCAAGUCAAGUGUUCUUGCACUACUGGUCCCGAAGGACGAUAUCUAUGCUUACACUAAAUAGCUUCUAACCCAUAAAUAAUUUAUACAUGUUUAUUAUUAUGGGAUUGACUUGAAAAUUUGUCAAGGGGAUGCUAAAUUAGCCAAUGACAUUGUGAGGCGGUGGGCAUGGGCAGAUCCAGGGAUGGGCUGGACUGGCCGUGCUACAGCCCGUCCCCUUCAGCCCAAAUGUCCAUUAAAAAAAAAUUUUUAAUUAUUAUUUUUUUUAUGUGCAAUAAUGUGCAAUAUUUUUUUAUACGUA
RNAcentral lists this long non-coding RNA (2000 nucleotides) under Olea europaea subsp. europaea. The record is from RNAcentral. Lineage: Eukaryota; Viridiplantae; Streptophyta; Magnoliopsida; Lamiales; Oleaceae.